UACGUAGGGUGCAAGCGUUGUCCGGAAUUAUUGGGCGUAAAGAGCUCGUAGGCGGUCUGUCGCGUCUGCUGUGAAAACUCGGGGCUUAACCCCGGGCCUGCAGUGGGUACGGGCAGACUAGAGUGCGGUAGGGGAGACUGGAAUUCCUGGUGUAGCGGUGAAAUGCGCAGAUAUCAGGAGGAACACCGGUGGCGAAGGCGGCUCUCUGGACCGUAACUGACGCUGAGGCGCGAAAGCGUGGGGAGCAACAGG
This 252-nucleotide ribosomal RNA is filed under the name uncultured bacterium. RNAcentral describes it as "partial 16S ribosomal RNA". It matches the Rfam family "Bacterial small subunit ribosomal RNA", at positions 524 to 775 of the family's 1533-position model. The record is from RNAcentral.